CGUGGGUAACCUGCCUUGUACAGGGGGAUAACAGUUGGAAACGGCUGCUAAUACCGCAUAAGCGCACGGCAUCGCAUGAUGCAGUGUGAAAAACUCCGGUGGUAUAAGAUGGACCCGCGUUGGAUUAGCUAGUAGGUGGGGUAAAGGCUCACCUAGGCGACGAUCUCUAGCUGGUCUGAGAGGAUGAUCAGCCACACUGGGACUGAGACACGGCCCAG
This 218-nucleotide ribosomal RNA is filed under the name uncultured bacterium. RNAcentral's name for it is "partial 16S ribosomal RNA". It matches the Rfam family "Bacterial small subunit ribosomal RNA", at positions 116 to 334 of the family's 1533-position model. The record is from RNAcentral.